RNAcentral lists this non-coding RNA (148 nucleotides) under Gorilla gorilla gorilla (western lowland gorilla). The record is from Rfam by way of RNAcentral. Lineage: Eukaryota; Metazoa; Chordata; Mammalia; Primates; Hominidae.
GCCGGGCAUGGAGGCGCAUGCCUGUAAUCCCAGCUACUCGGGAGGCUGAGGCAGGAGAAUUGUGUGAAUCCGGGAGGUGGAGGUUGCAGUGAGCCAAGAUCAUGCCACUGCCCUCCAGCCUGGGCGACAGAGCAAGACUCUGUCUCAA